RNAcentral lists this ribosomal RNA (460 nucleotides) under uncultured bacterium. RNAcentral's name for it is "partial 16S ribosomal RNA". It matches the Rfam family "Bacterial small subunit ribosomal RNA", at positions 338 to 795 of the family's 1533-position model. The record is from RNAcentral.
CCUACGGGUGGCUGCAGUGAGGAAUAUUGGUCAAUGGACGAGAGUCUGAACCAGCCAAGUAGCGUGAAGGAUGACUGCCCUAUGGGUUGUAAACUUCUUUUAUAUGGGAAUAAACUGUUCCACGUGUGGGAUUUUGUAUGUACCCUAUGAAUAAGGAUCGGCUAACUCCGUGCCAGCAGCCGCGGUAAUACGGAGGAUCCGAGCGUUAUCCGGAUUUAUUGGGUUUAGAGGGAGCGUAGGUGGAGUGUUAAGUCAGUUGUGAAAGUUUGCGGCUCAACCGUAAAAUUGCAGUUGAAACUGGCAGUCUUGAGUACAGUAGAGGUGGGUGGAAGUCGUGGUGUAGCGGUGAAAUGCUUAGAUAUCACGAAGAACUCCGAUUGCGAAGGCAGUUCACUGGACUGCAACUGACACUGAGGCUCGAAAGUGUGGGUAUCAAACAGGAUUAGAUACCCGUGUAGUC